UUGGAGGAGUACUAUGCCACUGAUGAGACCGAAGGUGGAAUAGACUCGACCGGGAACGAGAUAUAUAUCAACUUGAAUGGAGAGUCUAUUGAAAUUGACAAGGAAUGCCGAUAGAAGCACAUGGAUGGAAGACUGACGAAGGAUAAAAGAAAGAUAGAGAAGGAGUCAGAGAAACGAGGUUGUAGAGAGAAAGAGGCACGGAUCGCAUAGAUCGUCGGCGCAGACAGCCGCGCCAUUAGAUACGCCCAUCUCAAUCACCGGCGCACGGAGGGUCAUAAAUUCUUGGCCCGUAAUAGAGAAGGGGGAAAACGAGAGGUGAUGCUGCGAGGAGGUGACGGAGGUGCGCGUGUUGAAAAUGCACCCAAGCUUAUGGUCGGCCCACCUUUCCCUCUUCCAAUCUCUCUCCCUCUCUUUCUCUUUCUCUUUCUUUCCUACAUAAAGUGUGUAUGUGUGUAUAUAUAUAUAUAUAUUCUCUAUACCUAUACUAUAUAAAACUUAAUUUGAUAUAUUCUAUACUAUCAAAGUAAACCUCUAUCAU
Long non-coding RNA from Vespa velutina, 538 nucleotides. RefSeq lists it as uncharacterized. The transcript is spliced from 3 exons. The record is from RefSeq and is a predicted model, not a curated record. Lineage: Eukaryota; Metazoa; Arthropoda; Insecta; Hymenoptera; Vespidae.